AACGAACGCUAGCGGUGCGCUUAAUACAUGCAAGUCGAACGAGAAAGUACUUCGGUACGAGUACAGUGGCGGACGGGUGAGGAACACGUGGAUAAUCUGCCCUCAGGAAGGGGAUAACUAUUCGAAAGAGUAGCUAAUACCGUAUAAGACCACAAUCUCUGCGGAGAAAGGGGUUAAAGGCUAACGCCACCUGAGGAUGAGUCUGCGUCCGAUUAGCUAGUUGGUGAGGUAAUGGCUCACCAAGGCGACGAUCGGUAGGUGGUCUCAGAGGAUGAUCACCCACACUGGAACUGAGACACGGUCCAGACUCCUACGGGAGGCAGCAGUAGGGAAUCUUGCGCAAUGGAGGAAACUCUGACGCAGCGACACCGCGUGAGUGAUGAAGGCCUUCGGGUUGUAAAGCUCUGUGAUAGGGGAAAAUGAUGAUGGUACCCUAUCAGAAAGGACCGGCUAACUUCGUGCCAGCCGCCGCGGUAA
This 477-nucleotide ribosomal RNA is filed under the name uncultured bacterium. RNAcentral describes it as "partial 16S ribosomal RNA". It matches the Rfam family "Bacterial small subunit ribosomal RNA", at positions 29 to 523 of the family's 1533-position model. The record is from RNAcentral.